This is a non-coding RNA of Monodelphis domestica (gray short-tailed opossum), 1443 nucleotides long. Lineage: Eukaryota; Metazoa; Chordata; Mammalia; Didelphimorphia; Didelphidae. The record is from RefSeq and is a predicted model, not a curated record.
UGGAGGUUGGGCUGCAGUACACUGAGCCAUACUGUGAGUCCCUCUUCCCUUUCCUCCAAGGUGGAAACUGAAUAGGUCAAAGCUCUGAUGCCAAUGUGACAGUGUAGGGAGAUCUAAUCUCAAUAAGAGGCAGUUGUAGUCCAGGGGUGUCCAGUAUUAGAGCACUAGGUCUGGAGUCAGAAAGACCUGAGCCCAAAUCCAGCCUUAGAUAUUUCCUAACAACUGUGAGAUCCUGGGCAAAUUACUGAGGCUCUAGAGGCCUGAUAAAAGGAUCCACUGAAUCAAGUGGAAAAGAAAAAGACAAAUCUCUCCAGUAUCCUUCGUCAAAAAAAAAAAGAAAGAAAGAAAACCCCAUGGAUAGAUAUGGUCCAUGUGGUCAUGAAGAGAAAGAAGUGACUGAACUAGUCUAAAAAAAGAAAAAAAGGAAAAAAGGGGGGAGUGGGAGAUGUGCAAGACAUAAUCAGCAGGAAGUUCAGAGGACAACCUUGACAGGACUGUCUCAGAAGAAUGGAUCUUUGAAGUAACCACUAUGGAAAUAUGGUAGAAGAUCUAGGUGUGAAUACAAUUUUUGCCAUUUUCUGCAAGGAGGAUGGCCUUGAAGAGACAGACGAGGUUGAUGUAAGCGGCUAAUCAUAGGCUGCGGGGACACUCUACUGUAUUCCAUCCCCCGAGCAGGAGAUCGUGAACGAGGAGAAUUUCUAGGUGAUUGUUUGGGUGAAGGCCGUGGUGAGUUACGUGGUGAUGGAGAAAACCUGUUAACAGCAGGGUAUACCGCGUGAUGCAUGUUGUCAUCUUCAUCAUCUAAACUUUGAGCAUCAAGUUCCUGAUCACUAAAUGUACCCCGUCUUGUAGAAUUACAAGAUGAACCAGAACUGCGCCGAGAUGUAGUGGCUGCAUAUUCUUGCCGAAGACCUGGAAACAAUUAAAAUGUUAUUUUCUACUUAAUUUUAUAACAGAAUAAAAGCCCAACAUAACUAUCUGCUAGAAUAUAUGUCCAAAAUAAUUGCCUACAUUCAAGCUCUUUUUAAAAGUUAAUUUUAAGAUUCAUACUCUAUGAUGGGAUCAUAAACUCUUUAAUCCCAAAGGAUGGAAUGAUAGUACAUCAAAAGAAUUUUGAUAAAAAAAUUCCUCUGUUAUUAAAAGAAAAACUCAGUGAACACACAUUCUGCUUAGAUAGUUGAAUUUUGUUCCUAUCAGACACAUAAUAAAAUAUUUGCCAAGAGCUUUUCCUCACAUCUUAAAUAAGUGAAGGUAUAUUUAAAACACUGGCUAGGUACCCAAUGGAGGAAUUAUGGAAGACCAUGGAUAAGAAUCCUACCAAAAAAGAAGCCAAAAAUAGAUUACGAUAAGCAUUGAGACAGACAGUACCUACACCAAAUGCAGAGAAACAUGUUCAUUGACUUUAAAUAGUAAUUAAGUCUCUAUAUAAGUUAUCUCUCUUAA